This 377-nucleotide ribosomal RNA is filed under the name uncultured bacterium. Its description in RNAcentral is "bacterial SSU rRNA". It matches the Rfam family "Bacterial small subunit ribosomal RNA", at positions 523 to 898 of the family's 1533-position model. The record is from RNAcentral.
AUACGGAGGGUGCGAGCGUUGUUCGGAAUUACUGGGCGUAAAGCGCGCGCAGGCGGAUGUGCAAGUCGAAGGUGAAAUCCCGGGGCUCAACCCCGGGACUGCUCUCGAUACUGCAUGUCUAGGGACCGGUAGAGGUCAGUGGAAUUCCCGGUGUAGCGGUGGAAUGCGUAGAUAUCGGGAGGAACACCUGUGGCGAAGGCGGCCGACUGGGCCGGAUCCGACGCUGAGGCGCGAAAGCGUGGGGAGCAAACAGGAUUAGAGACCCUGGUAGUCCACGCCGUAAACGAUGGGUGCUAGAUGCUGGGGGGAGCGACCCCUUCGGUGUCGUAGCUAACGCAUUAAGCACCCCGCCUGGGGAGUACGGCCGCAAGGCUGAA